RNAcentral lists this transfer RNA (71 nucleotides) under Marmota monax (woodchuck). RNAcentral describes it as "tRNA.Ala". The record is from RNAcentral. Lineage: Eukaryota; Metazoa; Chordata; Mammalia; Rodentia; Sciuridae.
GGGGUUGUGGCUCAGGGGUAGAGUGCUCACCUAGCAUGUGUGAGGUGCUGGGUUUGAUCCUUAGCACCACG